Molecule: ribosomal RNA, 493 nt
Filed under: uncultured bacterium
Lineage: Bacteria
Description: partial 16S ribosomal RNA
Rfam family: Bacterial small subunit ribosomal RNA
Source: RNAcentral
GACGAACGCUGGCGGCGUGCCUAACACAUGCAAGUUGAGCGACGAACCAGGGCUUGCCCUGGGGCAAAGCAGCGAACGGGUGAGUAACACGUAGGUAACCUACCCCGAUAACCGGGACAACCCGAGGAAACUCGGGCUAAUACCGGAUGUGCUCACUGGACUUCGGUUCAGUGCGUAAAGGAAGCUUCGGCCUCCGUAUCGGGAGGGGCCCGCGGCCCAUUAGUUUGUUGGUGAGGUAACGGCUCACCAAGACCGCGAUGGGUAGCUGGUCUGAGAGGACGAUCAGCCACACUGGGACUGAGACACGGCCCAGACUCCUACGGGAGGCAGCAGUGGGGAAUCUUGCGCAAUGCGCGAAAGCGUGACGCAGCAACGCCGCGUGGGGGAAGAAGGCCUUCGGGUUGUAAACCCCUUUCAGGAGGGACGAAGGUUCGGCGGUGAAUAGCCGUCCGGACUGACGGUACCUCCACAAGAAGCCCCGGCUAACUACGUG